CGGCAGCGCGGCAGCGCGGCGACCCCUGCUGGAAGCCGUGCCUCGGAGGACUACUUGGGGAGAGCUGCCUGGAGGACAAGCCCAGCUCUGAGCUGAGCCAGAAGUUAGCGCCCUGUGCUUCCACAAGGAAAGGAUAAUGCUAUGUAACAGAAUGGCCUUUGACAAGUUACGGUGGUGAGAUGAGGGUUCUACUGGGGGCUGUGAUACCCUGAGGAGAAAGCUGUCCCUCUGCGCACAGGUGUGCCCUUGACCAGCAUGCCCUCCAGCCAAGGGUGCCAGCCAGGUGACUGAAACCAACUGCAAGGUCUUCCAGACUUUCCCACCAGAUUUUGUUACUGGCAGCAGCCGCCAGGCAUCCAGUCUGCUUUGCCGCAUGAGACAAGGGGGAAACAUAUUAACCAAGCCACUUCUCUCUAAGCACACACUUACACAUCUUUUCAUUUUGAGGAACUGACUCAAACUCUGUCUGGAACUGCAAAAAAAGUAGCUGAGGGCAGAAGCAGUGAUAGCAGUUGUUCUCACAGGGUGAUGUCAUGAUCACCAACAGUAUUAGCAUCGCUUGGGGAUUUAGAAGUGCACAACCUAGGGUCCUUUUCCUGACCUACUAAGUCAGAAACUCUGGAGCAGGACCCAGCAAUCUGUUUUAACAAGUCUUCCAGGUGAUUCUGAUGACACUCAGCAUGGAGCAUCACCGACCUAGAGCUUCAGCUGCUGUCUCCCUCUUUCUUCUUCUUCCUUCUACUUAUGUCUCCCCUCCCCCCCCGCCUCCUGUCCCUCCUCCUCCUCCUUCUAUUCUCCCCCUUUCUCUCUCUCCCUCCUCUCUGUCUUUCCCCUUCCCUUUUAAGAAAAAGGGACCAGCUAGGCAUUCCAAGUUAUACGUAUGUGAGCCCAGUUGUCUCAGAGAACCGGGAAGGGGAUUUAGCGUUUUUUCUCCGUGGAACAUAGGAAUUGCAAAGUGCUUUUUUUAACAGGUAGAAAUUAGAUAAUCAGGCUUAGUAAACCUGAUUAGAGGCCCAGAUGGCUUUACAAGUCUCAGUCUUUUUAAGCACAAAAAUCCUAAGGGAAAGAAGCUGAAUGAUUUACCCCUGACACAGGAAGCUACCCUGACAGCUCCAGCCUGAAGAACUGACAGGGCCUGUGGAUGGAUUGCUUUGCUCAAGUGAGGCCUUUUCCCAUUCUUCUUUAAAAUUUAGAACAGAGGAUUUCCCUCUGGGGAACUUAAAUGUUUGCAGUGUGGCCCUCUGACUCCUGGGUUGGAAUUUACCUGUCAUCUAUAAUUCUCUGGGGAAAACUGGAACCCACGUGAGUGCAUAAGGCCGUGUCUGCCCCCGCACUCUGGGAAGGGGUAUAGGGGUCCUCCCGCCAACUGUCCGUCCAGAGGACUUGCUGUGAACUGAGCCCAAAGGUGCACAUUCAAGGAGCCUUGAGCUGUCAGCCUUCUAUCAUCUGGUCCCUCUUGCCAGGUUUACAGGCACAACGUAAGUGCUGGGAUACUGCGCUGUCCAUGAGGAGCUGCCAUCUGAAGGAGACAGACACAAGAGCAGAUCGUUGUAAUGUGACAAGAUAUGUUUUUUUUUUCUUUUGUUUUUUGUUUGUUUUUUAUGGGGGGGCGCAACUAGAUUUAUUUAUUUAUUUUUAAUGGAGGUACUGGGGAUUGAAUCCAGGUGCCCACCCACUGAACUAUACCUUUCCCCCUACAAGACAUAUUUUAAUAUGUGUGAUGAUAUGGAGGGUUUCUGGAGACAGAAAGAGGAAGUAAACUUGCUGGGCCUGGAAGGAUUUGAUAAAGCUUCACAGAGAAGGUGACAUUUAAGCAGAAGCUUGCACGAUGGGUAGGAGUUUGCUGGUGAAUUAAGGCACCCCCAUCCCUGGGAACAGCAUGUGCAAAGGUACAGAGGCAUGAAAUCGCUGGUGUGCUGGGACGUGAGAAGGGCCACAUGCUGGGGAGGGGGACACUGGGUGGCUAAUUAGGGCCAGGGGGCAAAGGUGGUGUGCAUCUUACCAGCAAGUUUGAACUAUACCUAGGCAUUAAUGAAACCCCUUAAAAAACCAAGUUCCUGUGCAGAGUUUAUGAUUAACCUCUCUACCCAAAACUGUAUUCCCUGGCUUGUCUCUUCUGACCUCAAUCCUGUGCUCACAGUGUUCCAUCACUAACACGCAGGGCAAGCAUACAACGAGAGUUAGAGGACUAAAGCUGCUGUUGUUGAUAGCAUCGAUAAUGUACAGACUCAGGUUGUUCCUCCAGGGUAAGAUGACCUCACAGACAAGACUCAUAAACUGUAGGCAUCCUGACUCCCAAAACUACAAUUAAGAAAUGUCACAAAUUAACCCUGGCUUCUUUGUUCUUCCCCUUUAGAACAUCUCCAACUCUGACCAAACUGGAGUGGACCUGAGGUUUGUCUCCCACUCCCUUGCUUGGCACCCUGCAAUAAGUCCUUGCUUUGCUGCAAACACCUGCUGUCAAGGGGCGCCCUAACGUCCUUCUGGGCUGUCGGAAUGAAGAAGGAGGACAAGGCUGCGUAGGGGAACAGCAGACAUCCUUUAUGCGGAGACCCCAGUCUUCUCCUAGCUCCAAAAGAUGCCAGAAACUGACGCCACUGUCCUGAAAGUCUUGCCAACCCCUAACCCUGAAUCAUCCCCAUCAACAUUUGGAGCCAGUAAACGCCACCAGGUGCACCAAACUGAAGUCAGGAGGAGGAUCUGGGUGAAUUUGGAUCUUGUAGAAACCCUGGCUGGCCGUCUGCACAGGUCACCCCAUUGUUUCAUUAACCUUGUAGGAACGUGCCCUCAAAUUUUAUGAUUAAAUUUUUACUGUUUUCUAUUGAGUGGAGAAAAACAAGAUAGAGAACUUUAUGUACAUGUGCUCCUAAUUUAGCAAAACAAACCAACAAACUUUAAAUACAUAGAUACAUAUAUAUACAAAAAGAAAAUAUUAAAAAAUGUAUUAGUAGUAAUUAUUUCUGGUUAGUGGGCUAUGGGUAAUUUUAAUAUUCUUUCCUAUAUUUUCCAAAUUUUUCUAUAUUGGACAUAUUCUUGAAAUCUGAAAAAAAUGUGUAAAAGAUUAUUGAGAGAACUUUUCUAAGUUCAGAGAUCUAUGUACAAAUAUAUGGCUCUCAAUGGAGAAAUCCCUUUUCAACACAGCUUAUUAAAUUAGUCUUAUUUUAAUGGCUGACUAUUACAAGUUAUUUCUUCCUCAGAAUGACAUCUUAAAACUAUAUUGAGUGGGGAAGGUAUAGUUCAAGUAGUAGAGUGCAUGCUUAGCAUACAUGAAGUCCUGGGUUCAAUCCCUAGUACCUUCUCCAAGAAUAAAUAAAUAAACCUAAUUACCCCUCCCCGCAAAAAAAAAAAACAAACCCAAAACAAAAAACAAAACUAUAUUAGAGGUGGGGAGGAAAUAGCUCAAUGGUAGAGUGCACACUUAGCAUACACAAGGUCCUGGGUUCAAUUCCCAGUACCUCCAUUAAAAAAAAAAACAAAACUUAAUUCCCCUACUCAAAAAAAACUGUAUUGGAUAAGAUGUAAGCAGCGUCUGCUUUAAGAUAUUGUUGAGUGGAAUCUUGAACAACUGUGUUCACAGAAUUUCAGAAAGUGAAAACGUGGGUUCCUGUUUCAGGCUCAAUGUAACAUUUCAUUAAAUGGACCACUGUGUUGUAACAUUCUUCAGGUUUAUAAAAAUAUUUAAUCCAAUUUUCCUGGCCACUUAAAAUUUUACUAAUCUUUUAUAGCAUAAGGGACCCUGUGGCUUUAAACCUAACAUAAAGUGAAGGACCAGGGAAGUAAGACUAAAAAUUGUAUAAGCCUG
Long non-coding RNA from Camelus dromedarius (Arabian camel), 3802 nucleotides. RefSeq lists it as uncharacterized. The record is from RefSeq and is a predicted model, not a curated record. NCBI's taxonomy places the organism in Eukaryota, Metazoa, Chordata, Mammalia, Artiodactyla, Camelidae. The transcript has 4 exons.